GAUGAACGCUAGCGAUAGGCUUAACACAUGCAAGUCGAGGGGCAGCAUGGUCUUAGCUUGCUAAGACUGAUGGCGACCGGCGCACGGGUGCGUAACGCGUAUGCAACUUGCCUCACAGAGGGGGAUAACCCGUCGAAAGACGGACUAAUACCGCGUACACUUGGGAUAGGGCAUCCUGACCCAAGGAAAUGAAAUUCGCUGUGAGAUAGGCAUGCGUCCCAUUAGCUAGUUGGUGAGGUAACGGCUCACCAAGGCGACGAUGGGUAGGGGAACUGAGAGGUUGAACCCCCACACUGGUACUGAGACACGGACCAGACUCCUACGGGAGGCAGCAGUGAGGAAUAUUGGUCAAUGGGCGAGAGCCUGAACCAGCCAAGUCGCGUGAAGGAUGACUGUCUUAUGGAUUGUAAACUUCUUUUAUACGGGAAUAACAAGAGUCACGUGUGGCUCCCUGCAUGUACCGUAUGAAUAAGCAUCGGCUAACUCCGUG
Molecule: ribosomal RNA, 490 nt
Filed under: uncultured bacterium
Lineage: Bacteria
Description: partial 16S ribosomal RNA
Rfam family: Bacterial small subunit ribosomal RNA
Source: RNAcentral